This is a long non-coding RNA of Mesocricetus auratus (golden hamster), 2469 nucleotides long. RefSeq lists it as uncharacterized. The record is from RefSeq and is a predicted model, not a curated record. The transcript has 4 exons. NCBI's taxonomy places the organism in Eukaryota, Metazoa, Chordata, Mammalia, Rodentia, Cricetidae.
UACAUCGUCACCCCUCCAAAGCUCAAGGAACAUCAUAGAAGAGGGAGAUGAAAGAACAAAGAGCUGGAGGAGAAAGGACAGAGUGCCGCGGAAUGCUGUCUUCCGGGAAUAGCACGGGCUUUGUACUGAGAACUCACAGCAGCUGUGAAUACCUGCUUAAGACGGGCACAAGGUCAGACCUGCCAGCACCCGUCAUGGAGGAAGAGGGGCUCAUGAAACCCCAGGCUUCCCCGAGAAUCUAGAAGCAGUUCAGUGAACGGCGGCGGGGAAAGAAAGUACUGGAUAUCAUUAAGGGCAAUAUAUACUGUUUUCAAAACCUGAAACAUGAACCUGGCAUAGGAACACAAGCCUGAAAUUCCAGCACUUGAGAGGCAGAGCAAAGGAGAUCAUGGGAUCGAGUCCAGAUGGGUCUGCAUUACAAGAUGCAAGACUCUGUCGAGAGGAGCAGAAGCCGGAGCAGGAACAUGAGGAGGAAGACGUUGUUAGAAUCAUGUUAGGUCAAUAAGUGGCUUCGGAAUCUGAUCCUUCCUGUAUGUUCCGUAUCUCUGAAGACAGGCGGCUUCUCAGGAUGCUUCAGUAGAAAGCUUGGAAACCCCAGAGCCUAGAGUCAAAUCACUGAUCACCCUGUCUGGCAACUACCCUCUGAGGACACAGAAAGAACUUGGAAGAGAAGGUCCUUCAUUCCCAAAGCAGGGUUUCAGGUGUUGAAGUGCCAACCAACCACGAUGUACAGAAUGAAGACAUUUGUCUCGUCCAAGAAAUUAGACCCUUAGAAAACAAAGCCCAGACGAGGCAGCAGGGAUUCAGAAAGAAUGAAGGAAAGUCAAGUGCUCCUCCAAAAGGAGAGUGGAGGAAAAGCCAAUGAACUCCUGCCUCCUCUGAUGCAAGGACCCAUGCCAGCUUUAUGUCAGAAUAAGGGAACUAAGGAUGCCAGCCACACAGUCCCGAAACCCACUCGGAGUUUUGCUGUGCAAUCUCGCCAAGCUGGGUUUGCUGCUGGGAUUUUUUUUUUAUCUCAUGUAACAGAGCAGGUAGGCUCUCACAGGUAUCUGAAAAUGAUGUUCACAAAAGUGAAUUAUAUACCUCUCAGAGAAGAGGUGGGCAGGGUCAGUACCCAGACUGUGAGCCUCAGUUGCUGCCCUGGAGUUUAAAACAGCUCCAAUACUCUCUAAUAUAUGCUUGGAGCUUGCUGGCCACAAGAGGAAGUGUGGGACUAUUGCUGGAGACACUUUCACUCCCCUCAGAUGAUUCAACUCUAGACCUCCGUGGACAUUUCAGCGUGUUCCCAGACCUCAACACAUGACUCUCCUGCAGGGGAAUUUCCGAUACUGACUUCGGGAGGGUCCGCUCUUGGUUUGUGCCAAAUCCAAGGUGAGUUGCAGCCAGAACUUCUGGACUCCAUUGGUGCACCCCACUCUUCCAGUAUGUAGAACUGAAGACCCAGCAUUGGCCUAGGAAGCUCUGCUCUGCAGACUUCCGAGAGAACAAACUGCCCACUAGUGGACCACAUCUCCCCAGAGGUUAUCCACUAAGCCUGAACUCCCAGACUCCACGCAGGCUUUGAAGAGCUCUCUGAAGUCCAUCUCACUCCUCUUCUUAUCUAGCAAUGCUUCGCAAUCCAUGAGCUCUAAAUCCUAGAACUGGAGCCCUAGAACAUUCUAAUGAGACAGAAUGACUAAUAUAAGACCGACCCCCUUAUUUGUUUGCUAGUUUUGUUGUUUGUCUUUAGGUGAAUAGCAAAACACAAUUGCACUUUUUCUAAAGCUUGCACUUUUCUCAAGUUUUCCAUUUGGAUGCUAUGCGUAAAGCCUACCCUUUGUGACCCCAGCUAGUCAUUAUCAUUAUGAACAAGGAAAUCGAGCAGAUGUCUAUUUGGAUAAUGAUGCUGACUCAGUAACCUAGGGAACACUCUUGUGGAGAAAGGAGCUGCAGUAAACACUAUGUACGUGAUCAGUAACUAGCCUGAAUGGGGCAGAACUGGAGCUCACUGGAGACAUUGUAUCAGCUCCGUUGGAGGUAAUGAGAUGUGCAUGUGUCUGUGUCUAUGUGCUCAGCUGCACGUUUGCAGUGUGUCCAUUUAGAAGAAAUGGAAUCCCUCGUUUCCAUUUGGUUUUCCUGCAAUAAAUAAAACCUGUCUUAUUAUAAGGACAAAGCACCUCACAUACACUACCUUAGCAUUUCUUACAGGAUCCUAGCGAAGUUUACAUGGUCAGGAGUCACUCUUCCCAGAACCAGUGUCCCGCAAUCCCUGAAUGAGUAGUCUCAGCCCUUCAAAGCUCACACAUGCGUAAAUUAGACAGGAAGGUGAAGGUUCAAGGAAGCCGAGUCUCUUCGUUUCUAAUUCCUGCCAUCUGGUGUGAAUCUAACUCCAGGGAGAAGCAGGCUGGCAGGUGACAGCUUCUUAGAGCAUGGCUGGUCUUUAGGACUGCCACCCAACCCUUUUCAGUGUAAUUGGUACAUGAAUUUACA